Long non-coding RNA from Chenopodium quinoa (quinoa), 629 nucleotides. RefSeq lists it as uncharacterized. NCBI's taxonomy places the organism in Eukaryota, Viridiplantae, Streptophyta, Magnoliopsida, Caryophyllales, Amaranthaceae. The record is from RefSeq and is a predicted model, not a curated record. The transcript has 3 exons.
ACAUUCACUUUCUCUUUCUCAAAUCUGAAAAGUCAUUGUGUCACAUCUCACUUUCUCAGUCUUCUCUUUCUCUCUCAUAAUCUCAGAUCUCCUUCACUGAGUUCACUCAUUUUCCAUUAGUCCUCCAAGAGAAAGGUAAUGGCCGGCAAUGUUCAAGAACUUUCUUCGGGAGAGGAGGAAGAAAUCGAUUCUACCAUGGAGGACAAAGGAAGACCAACAGCAAAAGCCUCAAAACUAGCCCUAAAAAACCUCUUGCUUUGCUCACUGACUGUAUGGAACCUCAAUUGGAAAUGCUUUGUGGUUCAAUUACGAAACUUGAGGUGGGAAACAAGGAAGACACUCCACAUACAUUGCCCGACCUUGACUCAAGGAAAAAACCUAUUGCAUCGUCCAAUAUUAUUUGACAACAUUUUAAAUGAACUUAUGUUUUAGAACUUGGUAGCUUUGGGAACUUAGUUUCUGAUUUGUUAAGAAAACUUGGUUUGUAAUAAUAAUUUAGGUACUUAGACUUGUGGUUUAAUUUGGAUUUUUGAAGCUUUUGAAUGAUUGAAACACCAAACCUAUGUAGUUAUGUUGUAUACUUGUAUUGUUGUUGGGUUAUUUGAGACAUAUUGGGUUUUAAAAAAAAA